UACGGGGGGGGCAAGCGUUGUUCGGAAUUACUGGGCGUAAAGGGCUCGUAGGCGGCCCUCUCAGUCGGAUGUGAAAUCCCCAGGCUCAACUUGGGAACUGCAUCCGAUACUGGAUGGCUUGAAUUCGGGAGAGGGAUGCAGAAUUCCAGGUGUAGCAGUGAAAUGCGUAGAUAUCUGGAGGAAUACCGGUGGCGAAGGCGGCAUCCUGGACCGACAUUGACGCUGAGGAGCGAAAGCUAGGGGAGCAAACGGG
RNAcentral lists this ribosomal RNA (253 nucleotides) under uncultured bacterium. RNAcentral describes it as "partial 16S ribosomal RNA". It matches the Rfam family "Bacterial small subunit ribosomal RNA", at positions 524 to 776 of the family's 1533-position model. The record is from RNAcentral.